GACGAACGCUGGCGGCGUGCUUAACACAUGCAAGUCGAACGUGAUUUUUGUGGAAAUUCUUUCGGGAAUGGAAAUGAAAUGAAAGUGGCGAACGGGUGAGUAACACGUGAGCAACCUACCUUACACAGGGGGAUAGCCGUUGGAAACGACGAUUAAUACCGCAUGAGACCACAGAAUCGCAUGAUAUAGGGGUCAAAGAUUUAUCGGUGUAAGAAGGGCUCGCGUCUGAUUAGCUAGUUGGAAGGGUAAAGGCCUACCAAGGCGACGAUCAGUAGCCGGUCUGAGAGGAUGAACGGCCACAUUGGAACUGAGACACGGUCCAAACUCCUACGGGAGGCAGCAGUGGGGAAUAUUGCACAAUGGGGGGAACCCUGAUGCAGCGACGCCGCGUGAGCGAAGAAGGUUUUCGAAUCGUAAAGCUCUGUCCUAUGAGAAGAU
This 438-nucleotide ribosomal RNA is filed under the name Parvimonas micra. RNAcentral describes it as "bacterial SSU rRNA". It matches the Rfam family "Bacterial small subunit ribosomal RNA", at positions 28 to 449 of the family's 1533-position model. The record is from RNAcentral. Lineage: Bacteria; Bacillati; Bacillota; Tissierellia; Tissierellales; Peptoniphilaceae.